AAAUUUUUAGUUUAAAAAAAAUUUUAAAUUGCAAAUUUAAAGAUAUAAAAUUAUAAAAUUUU
This 62-nucleotide transfer RNA is filed under the name Xorides funiuensis. RNAcentral describes it as "tRNA-Cys". The record is from RNAcentral. Lineage: Eukaryota; Metazoa; Arthropoda; Insecta; Hymenoptera; Ichneumonidae.